GCUAUUUAUUGCACACGUCUCUUCACAAUAUCAUAGUAAAUGCACUUACACACACUCCCCUCACUCUCCGUCGACGAUGUAGAUCUCCGCUGAAUCUCACCGACAUUCGAGGCGAGCAUUGCUCCCAACCACUCUCCUCACUCAGAUCUUCGACCUCACCGGAUAACUUCCCGUCGGAAGCCUACGACGCCGGGGUGUCGCUUCUGGAGAAGUGGUGGAUCUACUGGAAGACGGAGUAGGCCUGAAUCUCCUUCGUCGAAGUGGAAAAUCCCUAACUAUAGUUAGGUUAACGGCGAAGGUGGUGGUGGUGGUGAUCCAUUUGAGGAGUUUAACCGGAAAAAGGAGAAGCAGCCAGUGACUGUGUCGGCGAGGAAGAUUGCUGCUGGACUUUGGCGGCUUCAGAUGCCGGAAGUAGCGGUGUCCGGUGACUGUGGAUCUCGUGGUGGUUUGAGACUUCAGAAACUUGUGUUAUCUUUGCGCUUAUCCAGACGUUGUAAAGUUCUUAUCCAGGCGUUGUAAAGUUCUUAUCCAGCCUUCCUCUCUCCCUUCUCCAGAUUCAGAUUCACGAAUCACUGCAAACGCGCGAUGUAUGGUGUUUUGAGAUAUUAGAUAAAAAAUAUCUAUCAAGAAGCGGAUGUCGGAUUUAUUUCUGCAAGAUAUUUACAAUAAUCUUACUAAAACUUUAUUAUUGUCGGUCAACACAUCUGGUUGAACAAGUUAUAGAAUAUGGAGAAGAGAAAUACUGGUAUCCCAUCCUAUGAAAUUGACUCUCCCCCACCUCUCCCUCACCUCUGUAUCAGAUACUAUCCUCUCCCUCAUCUUUGUAUGAGAUACCACCAUUCAUCUCUGUAUCAGAUACCACCAUGGUGUUCAAAAGAAGUAUCAUGUCUUCUUUGUCACAGUUAAAAUAAAUUCAUGUUCGGCCAACAACUUCAUUAUCUUCCAAAGCAUUCUCCCAACUAUCUUCCAAAACAUUCUUCCAACUAUCUUCCAAACAACAUGUUGAUUGGAGGAAGGAAGGAGCAGUUAUCUUCCAUAUUGUUUAGUACAUAACUAUAAAUGUUGUGAUGGAGGUAUCCAAGUAAGUUUACUAUACGCCUUUCUACCUAAAGGAUUCUUCUUGGAGGGAGGAAGAGGAAGGAAGCACCAGUUAGCGAGGUUAAACCUCUUUCUACAUAAGGCAUUUUUUCUUGAAUCUUCUAAAACAUGUUUAUUGGAGGGAGGAAGAAGCAGUUAGCGAGGUUAAAGACCAACUAAUAACAGCACAAGAGACGAUAUUCCAGAGGUAAACUUUUCUUCGCUGGUUGUUUAGUCCCAGAUGUGCUAACAUUUAUUAAAAAGAAAGGGUUACUUAUAAAUAUAAGAUUAGUGGACGAAGAAAUCAUUCAACAGAGGGUUGCCAAAGCUUCAACUCGAAAUCUUGGCCAUAGUCUGGAAAAAAGGACAGAGUGUACGUAGAUUUCGGGAAACCUUUACCGAAUAAAUUCAACCCAUUCGUUGAUCACGCAGUAUUAAUAAUAGGAUAUGGGGAGGAAAAUGGAGAAAAAUACUGGGUUAUAAAGAACUCCUAUGGAAAGGGAUUUGGCAACAAAGGAUACGUGAAAAUCCCAUCAUAUUAUGCUCGGCCAAUGACUUCAUUAUCUUCCAACUCAUUCUCCCAACUAUCUUCCAAAACAUUCUUCCAAACAACCCGUUCGCAGUAUCACACGCCUUUCUACUUAAAGCAUUCUUCCUUGAAUCUUCCAUACAUGUUGAUUGGAGGGAGGAAGGAGCAGUUAGCGAGGUUAAACCUUUCUACAUAAAGCAUUUUCCUUGAAUCUUCCAAAAGAAGCAGUUAGCGAGUUCCUUGCGUGAUUGAUAAAAAUUAAAACUGGAAAGUUGGAGCCAUUGUCGGUUCAACACUUGCUAGAAAUGAUGCUAAAGCACAAGAGACGGAAAUGGAGACGGAGAUGUGCUAACAUUUAUUAAAAAGAAAGGGGUUACUUAUAAAUAUAAGAUUAGUGGAUGAAGAAAAUUAUACAUCGGAUUGCCAAACAGCCCGUCAUUGCUUCAACUCGAAAUCUUGGCCAUAGGCUGGAAACUGGACAGAGUGACUUCGUGGCCAAUGAGAAAUGGUUGUGUUUCUCUGUUGGCAGAGGUUGUUUGAUAUAUGUUUGUAUUCGUUCUGGUGGUUGAGGUUUUUUUGGAUACAUUUGUGUUGGCAGAGGUUUUUUUGGAUACAUUUGUCAGAGAUUGUUGGAUAUAUGUUCGUGGCAUCGGUUGGCUAAGGAGUAAAUAUGACUAUAUCUUGCAUAGCAUAGUUAUGACUAUAUCUUGCAUAGUUAUUUCCUUUUAUAGUUGUAUAACAAAAAUAUUGUAUAUUAGUGUUGAUAAAAGUGUGAACAUGAACAUGUUAUUAAAAUUGGUAUAAGUUGAUCAAUAGUUAUGGUUUAUGGGAUA
This is a long non-coding RNA of Cicer arietinum (chickpea), 2439 nucleotides long. RefSeq lists it as uncharacterized. The record is from RefSeq and is a predicted model, not a curated record. NCBI's taxonomy places the organism in Eukaryota, Viridiplantae, Streptophyta, Magnoliopsida, Fabales, Fabaceae.